This is an RNA transcript of Hippoglossus stenolepis (Pacific halibut), 1926 nucleotides long. It is a transcript of the gene named mitochondrial E3 ubiquitin protein ligase 1a, with no coding region annotated. The transcript has 7 exons. NCBI's taxonomy places the organism in Eukaryota, Metazoa, Chordata, Actinopteri, Pleuronectiformes, Pleuronectidae. The record is from RefSeq and is a predicted model, not a curated record.
GAGAGACGUGGAGAGAGGAGCAGGAUGCCGCGGUGCGCGUGCGCAGACUUAGUCACGUGACAUCCACUGCUUCCGGUCUGACGUCACGUGACAUGGACGACACCGUGGGGCCGAUAAUGUCAACUUGAGAUCAUCUUUUCUCUGACAGGUCUGCUCCUACAGCAGGGACAGGAGAGCCAGGGACAAUGGAUGGAUAUUCUGUGAGGGUUCCAGAGGUCGUGUGUCUCGGGGCCAGUCUCACCCUCUCAGGCAUCUUCUACUAUCUGUACAGGAAGAGCCGCAAAACAGUGGAGAGACUUGACGAAGCUCCACAUUUCACCAUAGAUGGGAAACUCAAAAACAUUUUGAAGGAAAUUCCAGGAGCAUGUCUACAGUAUGCUGUCAUUGAAGGUGCUGUACAGCCAGUGGGCGAGCCUCUGACGAGUCACUUCCAAAAAGAAAUUGUCGGCGUGUUGCAGAAAAUAAUGUUGAAACAACAAAGGCUGGUGUGGAAUGGCCUUUCAAGCACUUGGACAGACAGUGAGCUGGUCUUGCACCAGAGAGUGAAUGCAGUGCCCUUUGUGUUAGUGGGAUCGGAUGAGACCACAGUCAAGGUCCUGUGUCCUCUGCAAGCUUCUGGAACCCACAUGGAGAUUACCCACGAGAAGUUUCACCAGCUCAAUUACGGCCUGGGUGACAUCGUAGGACAAUACCUGAGUGGGGAGAAAAUUAAAGGGCAACUGGAGACCGAGGAAAUGCUCAAGGUGGGUGCAACUCUCACAGGAGUAGGUGAGUUGAUACUAGACACAGACGGCACCCUGAAUCUUCGACCCCCUUCCAAUAGUACCCAGUACUUCUUGGGCAACAUGGACUUUGACACCCUGCGACAAGACCAAGAGAACGUGGCUGUUUGGUGGAAGGCGCUGACCAUUACCUCUGCUUUGGUCGGGGCGAUGGUCGUCCUCUGGGUGGGUCGACGCUACUACUACCACCUAAAAGCUCAGUGGCAGCGGGAACAGGAGAGGAGGGAAUUUGAGAGAUGGCAGGCUGAUGUAGCGGGCGCCGAAGCGCCUCAGGAUGCGGCAGAGGAACGCGUAGAGAAUCCCUGUGUGAUUUGCCUCAAUCAGCCUCGUAACUGUAUUCUGCUGGACUGUGGGCAUGUGUGCUGCUGUCACAACUGCUACCGGGCGCUUCCACGCCGCCAAUGCCCAAUUUGUAGACAGGACAUCAGCAGAGUGGUGCCGCUCUACCACGUCUGAGGCACCUGUGGGACCAUGUGACCUCAGCGGGGGUUAACCACCAUACAAACUACUGGCUUUACACCUGAUAGAUCUAAACUGCUGCACUAACAGCGACAAAAGGGCAAAAGGAGGGCUGGGGUGCAGCAGUCUUUUUCAACUUUGGCAGCCGAGCAUUAGCAGACACUCCAGCAGACAGCAGGGGGAAAGGUAGAGGUACGGUAUCUCAGGAGAGAGAGCCAUCACAGCGUGCGAUCGUCCCUGAUGCCAAUUACCGCUGUCACCCAUCUGCUUUGGGCAUGCGGUGAAACGUGGGAUAUGUGACCUACUUUCCAACACAAGUGUGACUGCAGCGCUUCUCCUCUCAUCAACAAACUGAGCGCCUCCUCCCUGAGGAGAUGGAGCCAGGGAUGGUGUCGCAGGGAUAUACACAGUGGUCCAAUAUAAAGAUUUUUUUGUUUGGCAUUUCGGUUUAAGUAGAUUAUACUGGAUUGCUUCCAAGCCAGUAUUCAGAAUUAAAUAUACUGUAUUUCCAAUGGAGGAAGGGAAACCAUCCCUAUUGUUGCAGGUAGAGAACUCCCUUCUCUUUAACCCCUUCGCCCAAUUUACAACCUCUAAUAACCACCUCUGGGAUAUAUGCCUCCAUCACAAUGCAAUAAAUGAAUGGAAAUCAGAUUUUGUUGUCCACAGAAUAAAAAAAUGAUAUAAA